RNAcentral lists this ribosomal RNA (468 nucleotides) under uncultured bacterium. RNAcentral's name for it is "partial 16S ribosomal RNA". It matches the Rfam family "Bacterial small subunit ribosomal RNA", at positions 28 to 507 of the family's 1533-position model. The record is from RNAcentral.
GACGAACGCUGGCGGCGUGCUUAACACAUGCAAGUCGAACGGAAAGGCCCUGCUUUUGUGGGGUGCUCGAGUGGCGAACGGGUGAGUAACACGUGAGUAACCUGCCCUUGACUUUGGGAUAACUUCAGGAAACUGGGGCUAAUACCGGAUAGGAGCUCCUGCUGCAUGGUGGGGGUUGGAAAGUUUCGGCGGUUGGGGCUGGACUCGGGGCUUAUCAGCUUGUUGGUGGGGUAGUGGCUUACCAAGGCUUUGACGGGUAGCCGGCCUGGGAGGGUGACCGGCCACAUUGGGACUGAGAUACGGCCCAGACGCCUACGGGAGGCAGCAGUGGGGAAUAUUGCACAAUGGGCGGAAGCCUGAUGCAGCAACGCCGCGUGCGGGAUGACGGCCUUCGGGUUGUAAACCGCUUUCGCCUGUGACGAAGCGUGAGUGGCGGUAAUGGGUAAAGAAGCACCGGCUAACUACGUG